CGUCGGCUGGCGCGGCAACGCGGCCACGACCGACGGCGCCGACGUCGGGCUCGACCUGACCGGCGGCUGGUUCGACGCCGGCGACCACGUC
This 91-nucleotide transfer RNA is filed under the name Dactylosporangium siamense. RNAcentral's name for it is "tRNA-Arg". The record is from RNAcentral. Lineage: Bacteria; Bacillati; Actinomycetota; Actinomycetes; Micromonosporales; Micromonosporaceae.